Molecule: ribosomal RNA, 484 nt
Filed under: uncultured bacterium
Lineage: Bacteria
Description: partial 16S ribosomal RNA
Rfam family: Bacterial small subunit ribosomal RNA
Source: RNAcentral
AUUGAACGCUGGCGGCAUGCUUUACACAUGCAAGUCGAACGGCAGCGCGGGCUUCGGCCUGGCGGCGAGUGGCGAACGGGUGAGUAAUGCAUCGGAACGUGCCCCGUAGUGGGGGAUAGCCCGGCGAAAGCCGGAUUAAUACCGCAUACGACCUGCGGGUGAAAGCGGGGGACCGAAAGGCCUCGCGCUAUUGGAGCGGCCGACGUCGGAGUAGCCAGUUGGUGGGGGAAAGGCUUACCAAGGCGACGAUCCGUAGCUGGUCUGAGAGGACGACCAGCCACACGGGGAGGGAGACACGGCCCAGGCGCCUACGAGAGGCAGCAGUGGGGAAUUUUGGACAAUGGGGGCAACCCUGAUCCAGCCAUGCCGCGUGCGGGAAGAAGGCCUUCGGGUUGUAAACCGCUUUUGUUCGGGAAGAAAUCCUCUGGGCUAAUACCCAGGGGGGAUGACGGUACCGGAAGAAUAAGCACCGGCUAACUACGUG